GCAGAAGAGGAGUGAAGCCAUCAGCUGAUUGCUCUCAGACACUGCAAUCUCCUUCUGAAGGGGCCGGGGAGGAGGCUGCAGUCUGUGCAGCUGCCAUUGCAGCCUCUCAGCAGUUGUGAUCUUGCUCUGGUUUGCAAACAGGGACCUGAUCCAUGUCCAACGACCAACACUUCCCUUUCCCACGCCUCUUCUCUAGAUGGCUGCAGUUCUGAGGGCUGGGAAAGCAUCAGCUGCCCUGAGCAACCGGCACUGCCCCUGGCUGGGACCAAGAGGCUUUGACUGCAAAAGGAAGGAGCCGAAGCCUGCGUUCUGCUCCUUGGACCCCUUCCUCCAGCAAGGAUGUGGAUUUGGAGAGCUUCAGCCCUUCUCAGGAGCAGGGAGAAGCCAACUCCUGCCUGGCUCCAAGCUCUUUCCAAGGAGCUGCAGAACAUACGGCUUCGGGAGAAGCCUGUCGGAACAUCCUGGGGUCUGGAAGCCACAGAGCAAGGAGAUGAGGCCCCGUGACUGCACGAAGAGCAGCAGAGAUCAGGAGUCAGCCCCAGGCAGAGCAAGGCCUUGAGCUAAUUGAGGCCAAACAGCUAAAACCUUUGCUUUUUAUUGUAAGAAAGGACCAGAACUCAGGAAGCAAAGAGGCUGCUGCCUGGAGAUCAGACCGUGUCGUGCUGCAGAGGGGCUCCAGCAGCAGCGAGCAUUCUUGGCCUGGACGUGCAGGGCUUGGCACGGGAGCCAAAGCCUCAGCCAAGCUGCUGAUCCCUUCCAGAGGAAUGUGCUGCCUCAUUAACUCCCCAGCCAGCCCAUUAGGGCCAUUUCAUACUUGGUGAGUGUUGAUCAGUUAAGCCAAGCCCUGGGUCAGCUGGUUGAGAGAGGAAGGAUUGCAGCUCCACGAUGUCUGCUGUGGUGCCUGGGUGACCUUGGCUGUUGUGUGAGGGUCCCCUGGUCUCUGGGCACUGCAGGGUCUGCCGCAGGCAGCGCGGAGCAGGCUGCGGCAGAAGGAGCCUGAGGGAUCGACGCUUCCAGCCCUGGAAUUCCAGAGCAGUGCCAAGGAAGCAUGAAGCAGCGAGGCAGAGGAGAGCAGUCAGGUGGCCAGAGGAGCACAGCUCAUGGCUCGGGCAGCGCGAAGGCCAGGGGUGACAAUCAGCCACCUAGUGGGGGCUGUGUCGAGGAGGAGGUGAAUCCAGUGGCAGAAAGGUUUGCUCUUGGAAAGCAGAUGGUGGUGACAGUCCCUAAGUGCACUGUCCGAGAGCCUGAGCUCACCUUCCCAGGGAGGCUGUGGCUGCCUCCUGCCUGGCGUGUUGCAGGGCAGGCUGGAUGAGGCCUUGAGCAGCUGAGUGUAGCUGAGAGGUGUCCCUGGGCAUGGCAGGAGGCUGGAGCAGAGGAGCCCUUUGAGUGUUUUGUGUUUGUGACACCUGGAGCUGCAGCUUCCAUUCCAGGUGUUGAUAGAAAACCAUUGGAGGAGAGAAACUUCACAGAAUCAUAGAAUCAACCACAGGAGUGUGCACACAGCAGCAGGUUCAUAGAGCCACAGGAUGGGAUGGCUUGGAAAGGACUCAAAGCUCAUCCUGUGCCAGCCCCUGCCAUGGGCAGAGACACCUCCCACCAGCACAGGCUGUUCAAAGCUCAUCCAGCCUGACCUGGAACACCUCCAGGGAGGGGGCAGCCACAGCCUCCCUGGGCAGCCUGUGCCAGUGUCUGCUCACCCUCACAAGUCACCUACAAAUUAUUUACCUUCACUCCUCCCUCUCUUUAGUUUAUGACCUCUUGCACUACCUGUUGAGCAGCCCCUUGGGAGUUAUGAUGGGCAAGACUGCCACUGCCACAGGUCACAGAGAUGGAGCGGAGCUCCUGUCCCCUGUUUCCCCAGAAAGGCAUCACUCUGCUGAUAGCUUCUUUGUUGUUGCUGUUGAUUAAUUUUACUCUGGAUCCAAAGGCUCUGCUGUGAAUGCUGUGAGCAGGGUAAAAAUAACCCUGCAGCACGUGG
This is a long non-coding RNA of Pogoniulus pusillus (Red-fronted tinkerbird), 1978 nucleotides long. RefSeq lists it as uncharacterized. The transcript is spliced from 3 exons. NCBI's taxonomy places the organism in Eukaryota, Metazoa, Chordata, Aves, Piciformes, Lybiidae. The record is from RefSeq and is a predicted model, not a curated record.